Molecule: long non-coding RNA, 407 nt
Organism: Myotis brandtii (Brandt's bat)
Lineage: Eukaryota; Metazoa; Chordata; Mammalia; Chiroptera; Vespertilionidae
Exons: 3
Source: RefSeq, a predicted model, not a curated record
UGACAUGGCCCCACCAUCCUGCAUCUUUGUCCUGCCUGCUUCAAACUGCAGCAGUGCCACAGGCUGAAGGAACAGCCCUUCACAAGGGAAAAGCAUUGGAAUAGGAUGGGAAAAUGAACUAGCCAUGGGACCUUAGAAACUCUAGACAGACAAGAUGCAUAGACUGCCAGACUCGACUCCAGCCCCAACGCACCGUGAUGUUCAAAGAAAAAACGUAGAUCAUCCGCCCGGGAAAAGCAACAUCCUCAGUUCUGGAGGCUGGGAAAUCCAAGAUCAAGACAUCAGCAGAUGCGGUGUCUGGUGAGCACCCACUUCCUGGGUCACAGAUGGCUGUCCUGUUGUGUCCUCACCUGGUAAAAGGGACAAGGGAGCGCUGGGGCCUCCUUUAUAAGAACACGAAUUCCAUC